RNAcentral lists this ribosomal RNA (433 nucleotides) under uncultured bacterium. RNAcentral's name for it is "partial 16S ribosomal RNA". It matches the Rfam family "Bacterial small subunit ribosomal RNA", at positions 29 to 507 of the family's 1533-position model. The record is from RNAcentral.
AAUGAACGCUGGCGGCAUGCCUAACACAUGCAAGUCGAACGAUAACAUCGGGUCUAUUGGCGCAUGGGUGCGGAACGCGGGGGAAGCGUCCCUUAGGUUCGGAAUAACUCCCCGAAAGGGGUGCUAAUAUGGGAUAAGUUCUUCGGACCAAAGAUUUAUCGCCUUGGGAUGGGCCCGCGUUGGAUUAGCUGGUUGGUAGGGUAAAAGCCGACGAAGGCGACGAUCCAUAGCUGGUCUGAGAGGAUGAUCAGCCACACUGGGACUGGGACGCGGCCCGGACUCCUGCGGAAGGCAGCAAAGGGGAAUAUAGCAAAACGGGCGGAAGGAUGAAGCAGCACUGCCGGGUGAGUGAUGAAGGCGUUAGGGAAGUAAAGCUCUUUUACCCGGGAUGAUAAUGACGGUACCGGGAGAAUAAGCACCGGCUAACUCCGUG